RNAcentral lists this ribosomal RNA (267 nucleotides) under uncultured archaeon. Its description in RNAcentral is "partial 16S ribosomal RNA". It matches the Rfam family "Archaeal small subunit ribosomal RNA", at positions 718 to 982 of the family's 1478-position model. The record is from RNAcentral.
AGUCACUGACAUUAGAUACCCCUGUAGUCCAGGGUGUAAACGCUGCAGACUUGGUGUUGGAAAGUCCUUUGGGGGCAUUCAGUGCCGGAGAGAAGUUGUUAAGUCUGCUACUUGGGGAGUACGUCCGCAAGGAUGAAACUUAAAGGAAUUGGCGGGGGAGCACCGCAACGGGAGGAGCGUGCGGUUUAAUUGGAUUCAACGCCGAAAAACUCACCAGCAGCGACUGUUACAUGAAAGUCAGGUUGAUGACCUUACUAGAUUUUUCAG